UUACUUUCUCUCCUUUCUUCUCACUCCCAGUGUCCUGUUUAUUAGUUCUCAGUCUUUGUCUGGUGUCUCUAUUUUAUAAAAAUCUUCAAGCAUUUUCUGUCUGUUUUUGCGAAUGUACUAAAUGUUUCUCUGAACUUGAUAAACUGGUUUUUCAGCUUUAAGAAGAUAUUGCAGGAUAAGCCAGCUGCCCCCAGCUGCUCACACACACACACACACACAUAUACACUUACAUGUACAUUUGGGUUGUGCUUCUGUAGGAAAUCAUCCUUCACACAAGGCUGCAGGUCAAAAAAGGUAAGCCUUUUCAGUUUUAUAUAAGUUACACAUCCCAGUCCCAACCCUGUAAUUGUAACAAACUACACUCAGAUCAAGAAGCCAGUGAGAAGUUGAUCUCUUGAUUUUCCCAGUUGCUUGGGUCUGUUAUUGUUUGCAAGGAAAACUUACAGGACCAGUUAGGGCAAAUUUGUUAUAAAUUUAAUUAUCAAUUCUGUGCAAUCAGUGUUGCCAAACAGAAUUGCAAAAAUAAUGACAGAAACGUUUCCCAAUUGCUCCUUUCAUCCCAAACUCAUGACAUUGGAUGGGUUAAUGUAACAAGGGUGCUGGUCAGAUACUUCAAAAAAACGCAUUUUAACUUUCCAAAUAAAUAAAUUAAUUAAUUAACAUCACUUUUUAUGUAAUAAUUUAAUGACUCCAAUAGAGACUCAUGGAAGAUUACCUCAUUUAUCCAGUAUAGUCAAAUGGAACAGCUUUCUAAAAAUAGGUUAUUAGGAGACAGAUUAACUUAAUAGGAAUGCUUAGGAACGCAUCACCCCAAACUUAUGUUACUGAGUCAGUGUAGUUGUGUGAUAUGCAAACUGUUUUGGUAAAAUAUUGCAAAAUGUUAGAAUAUUAUAUUAAAAUUGUUUACUUGUUUAAAAUAAAUCUGCAGCAUCUGUGGGCUCCAUGGAGGAAGAGCACACAUGCCCCAUGUGCCGUGACCUUUUUAGUCGAUCUCAACCCUUUCUCUGUGGCCACAGCUUUGCUUGGCAUGUGCGCAAGAGGCCUGGAGCCAGAGUAACGUCUGUGGCAAGCGAAGAUUUGUAUGCCCACAGUGCCUGGAGGAGCAGAGGGUAGUGGUAUGUGUCUGCUGUCCGGAAGACGAGGGUAAUGCGGCCCAAGCUGCAGUGAAGACCUGCCUGUGAUGUGAGAUCUCCCUGUGUGAGCAGCAUCUGCAGCCACAUCUGCAGCGUCCUGUGUACAGCACUCAUCUGUUGGUGGAGCCACUGAUGGAUGUAUCCUGCUGCAUGUGCCCUGCCCAUCUGGAGAUAUUCCGGUAUUACUGCAUGGAUGAUAGGGAAUAUGUCUGCCCAGAUUGCAUUUUGGAAGGACAGCAUGCUCAACACCAGGUCAAAGGGGUAAGAAAAGUGGAGGAGGAAUACAAAGUAAGUCAUAAUAUCUAUUGUUAUUUAAGAGAGAGUCGUGUUGUGGGAUUUAAUUAUUUUUUAGGACUGUUCACACUGAGCUUGGUUUAUUGUCCUCUUAUGUGGAGCAUUUACAAAGAGCACCAAUGGAAAAGUUGCACAAUGCGAAUGCAAGAACUGUGUAAACUUCUGUGUGAAUGGCCCCUCAGUCUUGUAUUUUGAAUUCUUAAAAGAAGCAUGGGUUAAAAGGUAUUCCUUCUCAUGGUGAUAAGAAGAAAAAGUCUUUAGUGACAAGUAACCAAGUUAUUCUAUUCACUUGUUUGUACCACAAUUUUAACAUUUACUGCACUUUAUGUACCUACAGCGGCUAAUGAAUCAGAAGUCUCACACAUUCACAGGAAAUAACUUAAACCACAUGAAAAAGUAAGAUGGAUAUACAGUGACACCUAACCUGAAAACCCAGAAUUAAUUUUUGUAACUCAAAGUAAAGACUGAACAGUGUAAAACAUGGUAAAAGAUAAUAAAGCAUUCUGUAAGCCCAUGGUUCAAAUUUAAAAAGCUUUUCUGUAAUGUGUAUAGGUCCAAUUACAGAGCCUGUUUGAGAAAGCAGAAGAGAAAAUAAAACAAGGUGAAAAGAUACUUCAAGAACAUCAGAAAGCUUGUCGCAGCAUCAUAGAGGACUAUUCUGUGAGUGAUGUCUCCCAGGUGUUACAGAUGGGUUCAGCCCUGCAGGCUCAGGUGGGCAGACUGGUGUCAGCCGUGAUAAAAAUCACGGAGCUGGAGAGACAGCAGGUCAUGGAGAGGGUGCAGGAAGAGUGCAGCAGAGAAAGAGAAGAUCUGAACCAAACUGAGAGCAUCCACCACUUAUUUGGCUCCCUGCUGGAUGAGAGCGACCCCUUCCUGCUCAUCUGGGAUGAUGGCAGAUCUCAACACACCUCUGUUCACACCACCUUAGCCCAGCAUGGAUAAGAAAUGUGUUUUAGAGAAUGUGGAAAAUAAAUACAGAGAAUUCAUAGCUGAGACCCUGCACUGCCUAAUUAAGCUCAAGAGAGAUCUCUUAAGCAGCCUAUUAACCUUGGACAAAAACUCAGCCUAUCCUCUCCCAAACAUCUCUGAAGACUUACGGACAGUGAUGAGGGUCAAAAAGUUUGACCACUGGUCUCAGGUGGUCUCCUGUCAGAUAUUUUCUUCAGGAACCCAUUACUGGGAGCUGGAGGUGGAGGGAUUCUGGGAUAUAGCAGUGAACUACAGCUAUAUCCCUAUACAGCAAUGGUAGGAAAUCAAAAGAGGGCACAGCCUUUGGCUGCAACAAGAUAGAUUGUUAACCUAAUACACAAACUUUUUUAAUACCAAAUAUGAUGAUCUCUCUGCAAACGACUUCUUAAAAUAUAAAUGCACCCAUAUAUUUUCAUGUAUAAA
Molecule: long non-coding RNA, 2819 nt
Organism: Cyprinus carpio (common carp)
Lineage: Eukaryota; Metazoa; Chordata; Actinopteri; Cypriniformes; Cyprinidae
Exons: 4
Source: RefSeq, a predicted model, not a curated record